RNAcentral lists this ribosomal RNA (492 nucleotides) under uncultured bacterium. Its description in RNAcentral is "partial 16S ribosomal RNA". It matches the Rfam family "Bacterial small subunit ribosomal RNA", at positions 30 to 507 of the family's 1533-position model. The record is from RNAcentral.
AUUGAACGCUGGCGGCAUGCUUUACACAUGCAAGUCGAACGGUAACAGGCCUUCGGGUGCUGACGAGUGGCGAAGGGGUGAGUAAUGCAUCGGAACGUGCCCAGAGGUGGGGGAUAACGCAGCGAAAGCUGUGCUAAUACCGCAUGUGAUCUGAGGAUGAAAGCGGGGGACCAGGCAGCAAUGUUUGGCCUCGCGCCUUUGGAGCGGCCGAUGUCAGAUUAGGUAGUUGGUGGGGUAAAGGCCUACCAAGCCGACGAUCUGUAGCUGGUCUGAGAGGACGACCAGCCACACUGGGACUGAGACACGGCCCAGACUCCUACGGGAGGCAGCAGUGGGGAAUUUUGGACAAUGGGCGCAAGCCUGAUCCAGCAAUGCCGCGUGCGGGAAGAAGGCCUUCGGGUUGUAAACCGCUUUUGUACGGAACGAAAAGGCUCUGGCUAAUACCUGGGGCUGAUGACGGUACCGUAAGAAUAAGCACCGGCUAACUACGUG